GAGGUGGCCCCGGAUGCUGCGGCGCCCGCUGGCCGGGCUGGCAGCGGCCGCCCUGGGCCGGGCCCCGCCGGACGGCUUGCUCUGCUCUUUACCUGGGGUUGCUGUCGAGGACCCUGUGCAAGACUCGGCCGGUUUUUCUUUCUCCCUGAUGGACAGACCCAAACAUAGCCGCGCAGCAUCGUGAAGGGCUGGGGCCUUCACGCGUCUGUGGCUGUGGAAGGGCCUGGUUUCCUCAGGAGGCAUGUCGGGCCCCAGGCCUGUGGUGCUGAGCGGGCCUUCGGGAGCUGGGAAGAGCACCCUGCUGAAGAGGCUGUUCCAGGAGCACAGCGGCAUCUUUGGCUUCAGCGUGUCCCAUACCACAAGGAACCCGAGGCCCGGCGAGGAGAACGGCAAAGGGAGGUGAUGCAGCGUGACAUAGCAGCCGGCGACUUCAUCGAGCAUGCCGAGUUCUCGGGGAACCUGUAUGGCACGAGCAAGGCGGCGGUGCAGGCCGUGCAGGCCAUGAACCGCAUCUGCGUGCUGGACGUGGACCUGCAGGGUGUGCGGAACAUCAAGGCCACCGAUCUGCGGCCCAUCUACAUCUCUGUGCAGCCGCCUUCACUGCAUGUGCUGGUGUGUGCUGGGCAGGGUUGGGGGCUGGGGGCCAGGGCAUGCCAGGCUCUGAUUGCCACCCCCUUUUUAGGAGCAGCGGCUGCGGCGGCGCAACACUGAAACGGAGGAGAGCCUGGCGAAGCGGCUGGCUGCUGCCCAGGCCGACAUGGAGAGCAGCAAGGAGCCUGGCCUGUUUGAUGUGGUCAUCGUUAAUGACAGCCUGGACCAGGCCUACGCAGAGCUGAAGGAGGCGCUCUCUGAGGAAAUCAAGAAAGCUCAAAGGACCGGCGCCUGAGGCUUGCUCUCUGUUCUCGGCACCCCGGGCCCAUACAGGACCAGGGCAGCAGCACUGAGCCGCCCCCUUGGCAGGCAAUAUGGCAGCUCUGUGCCCUUGGCCAGCAUGUGGAGUGGAGGGGAUGCUGCCCCUGUGGUUGGAACAUCCUGGGGUGACCCCCGACCCAGCCCCACCGGGCUGUCCCCUGUCCCUAUCUCUCACUCUGGACCCAGGGCUGACAUCUUAAUAAAAUAACUGUUGGAUUAGAAA
Molecule: small RNA, 1135 nt
Filed under: Pongo abelii (Sumatran orangutan)
Lineage: Eukaryota; Metazoa; Chordata; Mammalia; Primates; Hominidae
Description: processed transcript
Source: RNAcentral